GCGAAAACUUUACAAUGCUGGCAACAGCGAUAAGGGAACCUCGAGUGCCAGGUUACAAAUCUGGCUGUCGAGAUGCCUAAAAAGCGUUUCAUAGCAAGGGCCGGGCAAGACCGGUGCCAGCCGCCGCGGUAACACCGGCGGCUCGAGUGGUAACCGUUAUUAUUGGGUCUAAAGGGUCUGUAGCCGGCCGGAUAAGUCUCUUGAGAAAUCUGGCAGCUUAACUGUCAGGCUUUCAGGAGAUACCGUCUGGCUCGAGGCCGGGAGAGGUGAGAGGUACUUCAGGGGUAGGGGUGAAAUCUUGUAAUCCUUGAAGGACCACCAGUGGCGAAGGCGUCUCACCAGAACGGACCUGACGGCAAGGGACGAAAGCUAGGGGCACGAACC
This 384-nucleotide ribosomal RNA is filed under the name uncultured prokaryote. RNAcentral's name for it is "bacterial SSU rRNA". It matches the Rfam family "Archaeal small subunit ribosomal RNA", at positions 341 to 725 of the family's 1478-position model. The record is from RNAcentral.